RNAcentral lists this ribosomal RNA (443 nucleotides) under uncultured bacterium. RNAcentral's name for it is "partial 16S ribosomal RNA". It matches the Rfam family "Bacterial small subunit ribosomal RNA", at positions 338 to 795 of the family's 1533-position model. The record is from RNAcentral.
CCUACGGGAGGCAGCAGUGGGGGAUAUUGGACAAUGGGGGGAACCCUGAUCCAGCGACGCCGCGUGAGUGAAGAAGUAUUUCGGUAUGUAAAGCUCUUUCAGCAGGGAAGAAAGAAAUGACGGUACCUGACCAAGAAGCCCCGGCUAACUACGUGCCAGCAGCCGCGGUAAUACGGAGGGGGCAAGCGUUAUCCGGAAUUACUGGGUGUAAAGGGUGCGUAGACGGGUAAGUAAGUCUGGAGUGAAAGGCCGGGGCCCAACCCCGGGACUGCUCUGGACACUAUGGGACUUGAGUGCAGGAGAGGUAAGCGGAAUUCCUAGUGUAGCGGUGAAAUGCGUAGAUAUUAGGAGGAACACCAGUGGCGAAGGCAGCUUACUGGACUGUAACUGACGUUGAGGCUCGAAAGCGUGGGGAGCAAACAGGAUUAGAUACCCCAGUAGUC